This 759-nucleotide long non-coding RNA is filed under the name Rhagoletis pomonella (apple maggot). RNAcentral describes it as "uncharacterized LOC118741701". The record is from RNAcentral. Lineage: Eukaryota; Metazoa; Arthropoda; Insecta; Diptera; Tephritidae.
UUUCUAAUUGCUUGAAAUUUGGUAAUUUCCUUAAUGUUUUCCUGGCCGACCUGUGCUGGUAUUGUAAUUAAGAGCUAAUACACCAUUCUCUGGUGAACUGCAGCUGCGGCCGAAUUUGAUUGUGUGCAUCAUCCUGCAGAUAUUUUGAAAUUUUGUGGACGCUUCUGUUGUGCUGCGUUCCUGCUCCGCCCGUGUUUUAUAGUGUUGCGUCCCUGUUGCGCCUUUGCAAUAGUGUGUGCGUUGUGCUUUAGACACGUUGAAAUUGUUUAUAUGCUUCUGCUGUGCUGCGUUCCUGCUUCACCCGUGUAUUAAAUUGCAGCGUUCCUGUUAACAUAAGCAUCGUCGUUUAAGUACAAAACCGCGUAACUGACAUUUGAUGCUAAAAAUUGGAUUUGCUCACACAAGUUCUUGGCUCAAUCCUUAUCCAUUCUUCCUGAUACAUAUUAGCCAAAAAUGCGAUUGCUUUUUAAAAAAAGAUAACCAUUUUGAAAUAUGAGUGUUUUCACUCUCUAGAAAAUAAUGUAUGCAACCUCGCUGGGUUUGCAUUAUCUUGAUACGCGGUUUGGCAUUUUACUGAUACACGGUUUUGUACUUUAAACGACGAUAUGUAGAUGUAUGUACAUAUAUAUCACAUAUAUUGACUUAGAUAUGCAUAGACAAUUAAUGUGUACAUAAUUUUUUUUAUGUUGAAACUAGAUAUGUAUAUAGUAUGUUAUUAUUAUUAUUCGGUUCAAAAAAGUCCUAUCUCAAAUGAAAAUA